Non-coding RNA from Monodelphis domestica (gray short-tailed opossum), 8009 nucleotides. The record is from RefSeq and is a predicted model, not a curated record. Lineage: Eukaryota; Metazoa; Chordata; Mammalia; Didelphimorphia; Didelphidae.
AGGCAAGAUGAACAAAGAAAGUUUAGUCUUUUAACAUUAUAUUGCUUUCCUCUGUGCUUUCUUUUCCUUAAAAUUCUCUUUAAUAACUUGUCUGUUCAACAAUUGCACUGUUGACACUUUUUACUCUUUAUUUACCAAAUUCUAUCAUGGGUUCUUGCUUACCUAAGUUGGUUUUGAAUGCUCAACCUCUGGAACAGUCCAUUUGCAGAAAUUAUAUCGAAAGAUCACAAGAUCAAUUUGACAACUUGGAAAAACACACCCAAUGGGGAAUUGAUAUUUUAGAGAAAUAUAUCAAAUUUGUCAAGGAACGGACAGAGAUUGAAAUCAGCUAUGCAAAGCAACUUAGGAAUCUUUCAAAGAAAUAUCAACCCAAACGGAAUUCAAAGGAAGAAGAAGAAUACAAGUAUACAUCAUGUAAAGCUUUUCUUUCCACUUUGAAUGAAAUGAAUGAUUAUGCAGGGCAACAUGAAGUUAUUUCAGAGAACAUGACUUCACAGAUUACUGUAGAGUUAACUCGAUAUGUACAGGAACUAAAGCAGGAAAGGAAAUCGCAUUUCCAUGAUGGUCGGAAGGCACAACAACACAUUGAAACUUGCUGGAAACAACUUGAAUCAAGUAAAAGACGAUUUGAGCGAGAUUGCAAAGAAGCUGACAGAGCUCAGCAGUAUUUUGAAAAAAUGGAUGCUGACAUUAAUGUUACAAAAGCAGAUGUUGAAAAGGCACGGCAACAAGCUCAAUUACGGCAUCAAAUGGCAGAGGAUAGCAAGGCAGAUUACUCAACAACUCUUCAAAAGUUCAACCAUGAACAGCAUGAACAUUAUUAUACUCAAAUACCAAGCAUCUUUCAGAAAAUACAAGAGAUGGAGGAAAGGAGAAUAGUCAGAAUUGGAGAAUCAAUGAAAACCUAUGCUGAGGUGGAUCGCCAAGUGAUUCCAAUCAUUGGGAAAUGUCUGGAUGGAAUAGCAAAGGCAGCUGAGUCAAUUGAUCAGAAAAAUGAUUCACAAUUGGUAAUAGAAGCCUACAAAUCAGGGUUUGAGCCUCCUGGAGACAUUGAAUUUGAAGAUUAUACACAGCCAAUGAAACGUACGAUAUCUGAAACUAGUCUUUCGAAUUCCAGAGGGGACAGUAAAACAGAGCUCAAAUUUGGUAGCAAAUCCAAGGGGAAAUUAUGGCCAUUCAUCAAAAAAAAUAAGCUUAUGUCCCUUUUAACAUCUCCCCAUCAGCCCCCCCCUCCUCCCCCUGCCUCUGCCUCACCCUCUGCUGUUCCCAACGGCCCCCAGUCUCCCAAGCAGCAAAAGGAGCCCCUCUCCCAUCGCUUCAACGAGUUCAUGACCUCCAAACCCAAAAUCCACUGCUUCAGGAGUCUAAAACGUGGGCUUUCUCUCAAGCUGGGUGCAGGACCAGAGGACUUCAGCAACCUUCCACCAGAACAAAGAAGAAAAAAGCUGCAGCAGAAAGUUGAUGAAUUAAAUAAAGAAAUCCAAAAGGAGAUGGAUCAAAGAGAUGCCAUAACAAAAAUGAAAGAUGUCUACAUAAAGAAUCCACAAAUGGGAGACCCAGGCAGUUUGGAUCACAAGUUGACAGAAGUUGGGCAAAAUAUUGAAAAACUUCGCCUAGAGGUCCAGAAAUUUGAGGCUUGGCUCACUGAAGUCGAAGGCAGACUCCCAAUCCGAGGGGAACAUCCCCGACGACAGAGUGGGAUGUAUGAAGCACAGAAUACACCCUCAGUCAAUAAUUGUGCACAGGACCGGGAGAGCAGCCCAGAUGGCAGUUACACAGAGGAACAGAGUCAGGAGAAUGAGCUGAAGAUGAUGGCCACAGACUUUGAUGAUGAGUUUGAUGAUGAAGAGCCCCUUCCUACUAUAGGAACCUGUAAAGCACUCUAUACAUUUGAAGGUCAGAAUGAAGGAACUAUUUCAAUAGCUGAAGGAGAAAUAUUAUAUGUCAUAGAAGAGGACAAAGGUGAUGGAUGGACACGGAUUCGUAGAAAUGAAGAUGAAGAAGGUUAUGUUCCUACUUCAUACGUCGAAGUCUAUUUGGACAAAAAUGCCAAAGGUGCUAUGACUUACAUUUAAUACCAUUUAAAUUUUAUUUUUUAGUUGGAGUUUCUCCUCCCCACUGUGACUGUUUCAGGUCAAAUUUCUCUAAAGACUGGAUAAAUUCCUCAGUGUGCAUUUUUUUUCAUAUAGUUACACAGUGGAUGUAUGCAUUGUUCAACUGACUUUUUGUUGAUUAUAUUUGAUAGUAAUAAGUUUUUCUUAUUGAGAUGAAAUGCCCAACAUGGAAAGCUCAGUUAACUGCCAAUAUAUACAAAUGUCCUCAUUUGAGAUACAAGUAAACGUCCUUUAUUUUUGUAGUGUCUAUAGAUAACAAGAAAGUUGCUAUCGAACUUCUAUCAAAACAUUUCAUUGUAAUCAUAUCCACUGAAUCAAGCCCAGUUCUUAGGUAUACCUAAUGAGAUGCACUGAUAUCUGAUAAUUAGGAGAGAUUUUAGAGAUUAUUUGUCCUUUUCACUAGUUCCUAAGAAGACCUAGAUUUUAAAAAAAUUGAACCUGAAAACAUAUGUUCAAGCCUAUACAGUUUAAAAAUUCAGAUUUUUUGUUUGUUAAGAAACAUUAGCAUCCUUUCUGCAUGAGCUAACUUACAAAAUAAAGCUCUUUAUAAAGCCUAUUUGGAAAAUAGAUAUUAGUGCAUUCUUCAUUACUUAACACUAUCAAAAACUAUGUGAAUUAGAAUUUAAAAAAUCAUAGGGUGUUCAUUAGAGCUGGAAGGAUCCUUAAAGAUAACCUGGCCUCAUCCACUCAUUUUAUAAAUGAGGAAACUGUAGGCCCAGAAUGAAUUGACAUUGUCUUUCACUGAAGUCUUUGUUUUUAUUUGUCAUCAGAAUCUUUCCAUUAGUGAGUUAAAUUUACAUAUUUAAUAUACUUCAAGACUGUAUCCAAAAUUGAAAAGUUGUCUUCAUGUUGUCUAGUUUUAGACUAAUUUUCCCCUUUUAUGUUUUUGACUAAACCAAAUCUAUUUAGCCAAAACCAUUACCCCAAAGUUAGAGCACUAUUUUGAAAGCAGAAAAGAAAUGUUUUAGUAAUUUUUAUUUUUCAAAAACUCUUAGACAUUUUUCCAUUAUCUCAUUAUUGCUAUAGUAGCUCAUUUUGAUUAUAAGCAUUUUCAAUUGCAUUAUUAAAAUUUUAAUCAAAUUGAAACAAGCAAAUACAUUGACUCUUAAUCAAAAGGUUUUUGUUUCUUUUUUAAUGUGUCACAAAAGCUUCCCCAUUUUACUUAAUAGCUGUAAGUGCUAACUUUAGGCUUCAGUACAAUUUUGCAUUGAGAAAUCUCUGAGUAAAAGGGAACAUUUUUUCUUUACUCAAAUGUUGAUUUUUUUUUCCCUGUUAAAGUCAACAUAAUAAAUAUUGGAGAAAAAAAAAACAUAGUUGGAUUAAGAACCAGGCCUAGAGAUGGAAGGUCCUGAAUUCAAAUCUGACCUCAGAACUUCCCGGCUGUGUGACCCUGGGCAAGUCACUUCACCCCCCAUUGCCUAGCCCUUACUUCUUUUCUGCCUUAAAACCAUUACAAAGUAUUGAUUCCAAGACAGAAGGUAAAGGGGUUUUUUUUUGUUUGUUUAUUUAAAUAAACAUAAGGUAGACACAACUAUUUUAUGAUUUUAUAAUGCACAACUCUUAAAUCAUUAAUGUCCUGCAUUUUCCACAAACAACUGCACAUAUUGCUUCAGAAAAUAUAUCCAUAGGUUUGCAGAGGGGUUAUCUUUGAUUUCCAUAGCCUGUGACGAUUUUUAUUAAUACCCUGAACAACAGAAUGUAUAUAAGGUUGACCACUCAGUGAGAAUAUUUUGUUAGUUUUCAUUAUUUCAGUGUAUGAAAUAUUUAAAUGAUCUGUUGAAACUCAUCAUCAUGAGGUUUUUGUAUCAUUGUUUUAUAUAACCUGAUUGCAGCUAUUUCUCAUAUUCCAUUAGAUGAUUCUAUAAGAUUCCAUGUUAUGUGCAGAGCCCUAAGAAAAUUUCAAUGUUUUAAACUUCCCUAAAUGAAAGACUUGUUCUUUGAAAGAGAUAUGUCAGGAAUUGCUGUUCUGCCCCAAAUGGGUCUUGCUUUUUUUCCCAUCAGAAAUGCUCUGUGUUGAAAUGUACAAAAAACAAAACAAAACAAAAAACGAUUCUUGUUUAUAAAGUUCUACUUCCUUAAUCCUAGCCAGACUUUCAGAGUUGCUCAUGCUUUCUGUGGGAUCCUUCCCUCCUACCCACUACCUGGUUUAUAAAUCUGUCAUACCUCAACUUGCAGUUCUGUUAAUAACAGGUCUGAGAAAUAACUGCUACUGUCCCAUGUCCACAACCCAGGAGUAGUGAUUUUGUUUUUAUUGAUGCCAGUGCACUUUUUACAGUGUAGCUAAUUAUUUAAUGCUUGCCAAAAUAUUUAGGAUAUAUAGCUAACUUUUGGGCAAUUGGAUUGUGACAUCUUUUUUCCUUUGUGUAAGGGAUUUUUAAAAAAUUGUCUCUGUUAAAUAAGUCAGUAAUUCCACACAGAAAAUAUUUGUAUAUACUGCAAUUUUAAAACUGAAGAGUUACUUGAAUUUGACUUGUUUUUAACUUUUUUAUAUAUAUAAAUGUUUGUUUUAUUGGUUAUUAUUCUGUUGCCUAAUGAUCAUUUUGUUUUUAUAACUGCUGGUAAAGCCACAAGGACUGUUACACUCGUAGCUAGGGUCCCUGCUGGCUGUUCCAGACUUGACUUUAGUAGAGACACUUUGAUACUGAAUUCCUAAAAGUGAUGUGCUGGUGCAAGAUCCUCGGGGUGAGCUUUCACAGGAGGAGAAACAGUCUGCUUGUUUCCAUAGGCCACUCAAUUGGGUCAGGCGCAUUGACUUCUUGAGCUGGUCUGGAAUUAACACUUGAAAUCUUGAUCUGAAAUGACAUCCCCACAUUACUCAGAUGCUUGUUCUUUUCUUACAGCAUGUUCUUUGUGGCUCAGAUUAAAACAUAGCCUUUUUAUCCUUGGUUCUGUUGGGUAGGCUUCCUUUUCAGGGAGCUGAACUGACAGAACUUCUCCUUAGUUUCCAAUGUAAUUCAACAUUCUUAAUUGUGGGAGGUCUUCCCCUUGCAACACAAAACUAGAAACUUCCAGAAAAGUACCCCAUGGCCUUUGAAAUUGUUCCCUAGCUCUCAUUCUGCUUGAAUGUGUGUCCUGGCCCAUCUCAAUUUCACAAUGUGCCUUUUGUGAGAAUUUUAUAGCUAGUCUCCUGAGAAGACUAAGGGGAUCUAGAAUUGGAGAUCCGGACAUACAUUAGCUAGAUGGAGUCUCAGAUUUUUUUAAAAAUGUAUUUAGUACCACAGUAAACAACAAUAAAUACUUCUUCCUUCCCAAAAGGCCAUGUGUAUUCCUUAGGACUUUUUAAUAGCUGACUCCUAUCACACCAAACAUUCACUUUUUCAGGAUCUCGCCUGAUAGUUUCUGACGGCUUACUUUCUUCUCUCCACCCCAACCCCACCUCCUCCUCUUACUCCACCAUAUGUACGUCAUGCAUGCACUUGCAAAUGUUUGAAUUUGCAAUGCCAUCUUCAGUGUCUUCCAAAGAUCCCAUUCUUAAGUCACAUUGCAGUCUGCAUGCUUGCCCUGAAGCCUUGCUUGUACCCACCUUUCCUAAAGUUUGAGGGACUCUGAAGCCCAUCAGUCCUUUAGUAAUCUUACUGUUUGUUAGCGAUAGUUGUUUGGACCUGUGCCUAUUCACAGAUAUUUUGGACAUGAGCACCUCACCGGUGCACUGUCAAUUUGGAACACAAAAACCAUUUGGUUGGCUGUUCUUUCCAGGACCUCAAAUAGAUUCAUCAUCAUUUAUCACAUCAGAUGGCUUUGAAGUGUUUGUCUUAUAGCCAUUCUCGUGCCCUAAGUAAUCCCAUGACCAGAAAAGCAGAAUACAGUAAUAUUAUUUCUAAUCUUUAAUACUAUUUGGUCAAAGUCAAACAAAUAGUUUCCUUUCUGAGAUGGGAUACCUUUACCUUUUGAACCUUAUUAACAUAUUUAGCAUAAACUGAACCAAGACAAGGAUGGUUAGGGUUAAUUCUGAAUUGCUCUGAGUUAGAAUCAAAUUCAGUGCUUUGGUUUAAGAAAGGCAGUCCUAUUUGUUUAGUGAAGCUUCAGUCUGGCUCCUAGUAACUAGGAAGUUUCUUUGUGAAUAUUAUCAGUCCUUCUUUGAGAAUCAAAAAUUAGAAUUUCUCCACAGCUCAGAAGAGACAGGUGCCAGAAGUGUUGUCUCUAAGGGAUGUUCGGGGCUGAGUCUGUUGAUUGUUUCAAUAUGUCAAAAUUAUGGAAAUGAUUCAACUCAGCAGGUGAGAAAAGGCGGGAGAAGGAGCUGGCUGCAUACACCAUGACUUCAAAGGCAAGUCAAAACCAAUCCUCCAGUGGCUAGAAGCCAUUCAGUAAUACUAUCUUUAAGAGGAGGAAGAGGAUAGUAAGAAAAUGAAAGAUGUCCUCCCUCUGAAUUGAGCUCAGAGGCUUGGAAAACCCCACUUGAUUUCUCUGUGUUGCUUAAAUGUUGUUCCAUAGGUAAAACUGUGUUUCUAUGGUUACUUCAAUAAGGAAUUGAUGUAACAGUUGGUCUGAGGAAAUUCUUCAAUGUCCAUCAUGCUUCAAGGAAGAGAAAGAAGUGGCUUGGGUAAAUGAAAUGGAACUUGGAUACAUGUCAGAAAGAAGAGCAACUCUCAUCUCCGAAGUCCUGCAGAAGUAGUAUAAUUGUUGUCCAAAGGGUCAUUCGUUGUCUCUUACACUGUUAUGCUUUUAUGUGACAGUGCCUACUUAGAAGUUGUCACUGCUAAUUAAUUCCAAAUAUCACAAAUAAGAACUAUUGUACACCUCAUCCUCCAACUAAUUAGAAAUUUUGUAUCAUAUGUCAGAACCUUGGAUUGAGGUAAUUCCAUGUGAAUCUAUUCAUGUUCAUUACAAAUAGAUGGAUGAAUUCUUUGCAAAAUAGGAAAUAUUUUUUAAACUUCUAUAACUUAUUCUUAUAAUAUCUAAUGCACUGUUGCACUCCCAUGUCAGCUAUGUCCAAGUAAGAAUAAAAAAAAAUUAAUGUUCCCAGUGGUUUCUCAUAGACAACAAAUUAUUAGCCUUUUAAAAUCAUCAACUUAUUGCAAUGGCAGAUUUGCUACAGUGAUGUUGGAAGAACUUGAGGAUCCCAGUGGGGUUUAGAGGGGGGGGGGGAUAUUUAAUAACAGCAGCGGAAAUGUGAGUUAAUUUAUGAAGUGUUCAAAAUCUUCAAAAAGUUUCUUUCUCUUUUUGUUCAUCACAUCUUAUUUUUAAAAAGAGAAUUCACAUCAAAUGCUGACAAAACAGAGUCAUUUCCCAAAAGGCAAAGUCUAAAAUUGAUCCCUCUUUAGUGUAUGCUGAAGAAAAAAUUGAAAAGGCAUUAACUACUGUGAUGGGACUUGUCUUUGAAUUUUUUCCAACUUCACCUAGUAGCAUGUUGUGGCCCUUAUAGUCUCCAAAGUAAGUGAGAUUUGCCACUGUCCCACCAGCACAGUCACUAAUGCCUUUCUGUAACAUCUGUAAAUAGAGAAUAAAAAACAUUUACUGAAAAAAUAUAAAAGUUGUGUUAACUUUGAGUAUUUUUCCAUACACUGUAUUUUGGGUUUUUGCUUCGUAUUGACUGUCUCUCAUUUGUAUUGUCAGUUUUUAUUUUAAUAAGCCAAGUUCUAUCUUGCCAUGAUGUUAAACACUUUUAAAUUUUCAUGUGCAUGUGUGUGUGUGAGUGUGUGUGUGUGUGUGUGUGUGUGUGAGAGAGAGAGAGAGAGAGAGAGAGAGAGAGAGAGAGAGAGAGAGAGAGAGAGAGAGAGAGAGAGAAUGUGCUUCUAACUGUGUUGUAACUCAUUGCCAUUGGAAAGGUCCUGGCAUUUCCCAUUUGUUUCUGGAGAUGGAAUUUAACCAAAUGAAGUGCUUCCAUUGGAAGGCAAACAUUGUCCUUGUAACUAUGAAAUCAUCUAAGUGAUAAAUAAAAAUGUAACUUCUAGUGUA